CCUACGGGUGGCAGCAGUGGGGAAUAUUGGGCAAUGGGCGCAAGCCUGACCCAGCAAAGCCGCGUGAAGGAAGAAGGCUCUCGGGUUGUAAACUUCCUUGUCAGGGGAAGCGAAGAAGACGGUGCCCUGACAACAAGACACGGCUAACUAAGUGCCAGCAGCCGCGGUAAUACGUAGGUGGCAAGCGUUGUCCGGAUUUACUGGGGUUAAAGGGCGUGUAGCCGGGAAGGCAAGUCAGAUGUGAAAUCCGGGGGCUCAACCUCCGAAUUGCAGUUGAAACUGUUGUUCGUGAGUACUGGAGAGGCAGACGGAAUGCCUUGUGUAGCGGUGAAAUGCGUAGAUAUAAGGAGGAACACCAGUGGCGAAGGCGGUCUGCUGGACAGCAACUGACGGUGAGGCGCGAAAGCGUGGGGAGCAAACAGGAUUAGAUACCCUUGUAGUC
RNAcentral lists this ribosomal RNA (442 nucleotides) under uncultured bacterium. Its description in RNAcentral is "partial 16S ribosomal RNA". It matches the Rfam family "Bacterial small subunit ribosomal RNA", at positions 338 to 795 of the family's 1533-position model. The record is from RNAcentral.